CAAAAUGGUGGGAAAUGAAAUUAGAAAAAUUGCUGGAGUAGAAGGGUAGGAUAGAGUUUUGUUUAGUAGGUUAAAUGAGGAAAAAGGGCAGCUGAGGCAUGGAUGUGGUGGUGAGAUCUUGAGUGCAAUUUAAGGACAGGGAAGGGAAGGGAAGGGGGCCGUAGAUAGGAGGAUGGUUCUGGUUCCUCUCUUUCAUCAUUAUCUUAAAUCCUAUCUUAUCUUCCUAUGGUACUUCUUCUUGCACUCUGCUGCAUCCUUGGGGUGGUCCCUCCCUCCUUUCUUUCUUUCUGAUUUGACUAAUCCUUGGAGUUUGAUUGAUCGCAACUCCCAAAACAAUUUGGAGUCAUAGUUUAUGAUUUUGGAAUUUGAAAACUUCAAUUUCUUUUGUUGAUUUAAUUAGAUAAAUAAUUAUUUAUUGAAAAAUUUACUAUUACAAUACAAAUGUUUAUAAACUUACAUUUGAAAUACUUGUUUGCAAGAGUAGUGUUUUCCUUGUAAUUCAGGCAUGAGGAGAGGGAAAGGUUUAACAACUAAUCCACAACCCAAUGGAUCCAAAUGAUACUCCUUGAUGGGCUUAUUUUUGGAGCCAUUUUCCGUUGUAUAUGAAGCCUUGAAAUUGGAAUAACACCAACUUCCUAAUUUUUCCCCCGAAAAAUAUCGAAAGCCCUAACUUUGCCGGUCGAGCCUAAGGGCGGAAGCCGCCGUUUUCUCCUUCGCGACACUCACAACUCACCAGCUUUCUUUUGAAUCCCAAAAAGAAACAAUGUCUCGUGUGUACGUGGGUAACCUUGACCCACGAGUUUCGGAGCGGGACCUUGAAGACGAGUUUCGUGUCUUUGGAGUUAUUCGGAGUGUAUGGGUUGCUCGAAGGCCACCUGGUUAUGCUUUCAUUGAUUUUGAGGAUCGCAGAGACGCCGAAGAUGCAAUUCGUGAAUUAGAUGGCAAGAAUGGCUGGAGAGUUGAGCUUUCUCAUAAUUCUAGAGGAAGAGGCGGACGUGGAGGUGGUCAGGGAUGCUCUGGUGGUUCUGAUUUGAAGUGUUAUGAGUGUGGUGAGCCUGGUCAUUUUGCUCGAGAAUGUCGCAUGCGUGGUGGUUCAGGAAGACGCCGCAGCAGCCGCAGCCCUAGAUAUCGUAGUAGCCCAAGCUAUGGACGCAGAAGUUAUAGUCCUCGUGCCCGAUCUCCAAGACGUCGCAGUCCCUCUCCUCGUGGGCGUGGGCACAGCAAGUCUCCACCAUAUCGUGGUCGUGAGGAGUUGCCAUAUGCUAAUGGGUGAAGUUCCUUGAACUUUAUGCUAGUAGCUAGAAAGGCUUUCUGAUUGCUAUCUUUUCUGCCAAUAAAUAAGCAAGUGUAUAUAACCGAAAUGGUGCAAGGGAACACCGACAAAGCAGGAGCUAAGUACUGCAAGGAUGUAAAAUUUAUCGAGGAGACUGAGAUUAAGUGUGUUUAGUUUGUUUGGACUUCAAUGAUACUAUUUUUAUUGGGCAACGCCCUCGGCCUCUUGGAUUUGGAUAAGUUCCUUUCUGUUUUUCUUUAGUUCUAUGAUGCUUUUCUUUGCUUCAUCUUAUGCCAGAACAUAGUCUUUUUUCUCCGGUAGGAGAAAAGAAGCCUAAGCUUCUAUAAAUUUAUUGAGAAAUCAUUCCUGGAA
Molecule: RNA transcript, 1645 nt
Organism: Gossypium raimondii (Peruvian cotton)
Lineage: Eukaryota; Viridiplantae; Streptophyta; Magnoliopsida; Malvales; Malvaceae
Gene name: serine/arginine-rich splicing factor RSZ22A
Exons: 6
Source: RefSeq, a predicted model, not a curated record